This 1210-nucleotide long non-coding RNA is filed under the name Astyanax mexicanus (Mexican tetra). RNAcentral describes it as "lncRNA (ENSAMXG00005009119.1)". The record is from RNAcentral. Lineage: Eukaryota; Metazoa; Chordata; Actinopteri; Characiformes; Acestrorhamphidae.
CAGUGUUUAUCUGUUGCAUAUUUGUUGUUUACCUGUUUAUCUCUGUGUCUUCACUUCACAUUUCCAGACUGCAGACAUUUAGAGCACAACCUCCAGAGCCCAGCUGUGUGUCUAUGAACAGCACUUACUUGAUGAAUCAGCCUCUUUAUUUCAGUAAUGGAAGAAGCAGCUCUGACCUGAGACUGCAGGCAUUCAGAGGAGAAUCUCCAGAGCCCAGCUGUGUGUCUAUGAUUAGCUAUCAUUCCAUGGAGCAGCCUCUUUAUUUCAGUAAUGAAAGAAGCAGCACUGAUCUGAGACUGCAGACAUUCAGAGCAGAACCUCCAGAGCCCAGCUGUGUGUCUUUGAGGAGCAACCACUCGAUGCAGCAGCCUUACAAUUUCAGUAAUGACAAACUUACCACUGAGCUGAGACUGCAGACAUUCAGAGCAGAACCUCCAGAGCCCAGCUGUGUGUCUUUGAGGAGCAACCACUCGAUGCAGCAGCCUUACAAUUUCAGUAAUGAUAAAUUUACCACUGAGCUGAGACUGCAGACAUUCAGAGCAGAACCUCCAGAGCCCAGCUUUGUGUCUAUGAGGAGCAACCACUCGAUGCAGCAGCCUUACAAUUUCAGUAACAAAAAGCUGAGACUGCAGACAUCCGGAGCAGAACCUCCAGAGCCCAGCUGUGUGUCUAUGAGGAGCAACCAUUCGAUGCAGCAGCCUUACAACUUCAGUAACAUCAAAUGUACCACUGAGCUGAGACAGACAUUAAGAGUAGAACCUCCAGAACCCAGCUGUGUGUCUAUGAGGAGCAACCACUCGAUGCAGCAGCCUUUUAAUUUCAGUAACGAAAGAAGCAGCACUGAGCCGAGAGCAGAACCUCCAGAGCCCAGCUGUGUGUCUUUGAGGAGCAACCACUCGAUGCAGCAGCCUUACAAUUUCAGUAACAACAAAUGUAUCACUGAGCUGAGGUGAGAAACCAGCAUGGGAUGAGAGUGAGUUUAAACAGGGUGUUUUUUGUAGUAAGUCUGUUUUUUUCUUUUUUUUGGUCAUCUCCAAUGAAAAGUACUUUUUAACACUACAUUUUUUCUACCUUCCAGUAAAAAAAAAUCAGGCUGCACAGAAUAUUGUUUAAGCAUUGUCAUCACACAGCAUUCAUGUGAAAUAAUCUUUACAGUACAUUGCAGUAUGUGUGACGCCACGUGAAGCAAAUAAAUAAAAAAUGUUACUCA